AUCGUCGUCUUCACCUUUUCAUCAGCUUUUUCGGCAUCCAUCUCGCACAAACUUUUUAAAAUCCAAAUCUGUCGUGCACUAUUGCAUAAGCAGAGCCGUGGCUGAUUUGCAAAUGAUUUGCCACAUUAUCCAGUGUCACUCGUCUAUUCCAUAGAGCAUAAGUUCAUGAGCACGUUCAAUGUUGUCAUCGUGGAUGUGGACGGGCGUCCAGCUGUUUUUUCAUAACACUUGUGCGAUCUUCUUUGAACUUUUGUGCCCAUUCAAACACACUUCGUGACAAAACACUUUCUCCAUAAUGUGCAUUAAAUCUUUGAUAAAUAUAGGCAUCAAACAUAACCUCCGACCACAAGAAACGAAUCACAGCAUCCUGCACUGUUUUCCUGCAAAUCACCAUUGCAAAGCGCCAUUACUCGCGCAACGGUCACAAACGAAUUGACGUAACACAAAGAAACCUGCGCAGCAGCACUGAACAGAUAUUGACGUCAUACGAAGAGUGCAGAUGGAUCAAUACGGUCGACAGAAGUUUUAACUAUCUGGAGUGCGGAUAAAUUUUUACUGAGAGUCGUAUAGGAAUCUAUAAUCUGGGGAGCAUCUCGGAAGCCAUGCCGGCUGACGAGUUCGCUGGAAAUCGAAACAGAAGCAAACCAAGACUGCAACCACCUUAACGAACCGCUAUUAUCACUGGCAAGGUCAUCGGGCAGACCGGAUCUAAUCAUGCUCACGCCGACCAUGCUUCCUGUGCACUCGUUCCUCUUUCUUAACGACGUCAACCAGAAGAUCGGGUGGUAAAAAAUUCGAAAUCGAGUUGAUUGAAAAUCUCAAGGAAUAUUAAAAAAAAAUACGAAUAAACAAUUUGAUAUAGAAAUCAUCCAUUUUGGGCAAAGAAAAGAAACAAUCAGAAAAAGGAAUAACCACAGAAGCUCUGAAUUUCAUUGCUUCCUAAUGGUACUUCCUUGGAUAUUUUUACAUUCUGGAGGCGUGAACGAACUCUGAAAAACAGAAACGACUUCUAUCGGAUGAUCGAAAGAACUACCUGGACACUGAGUAUAAUUAUUCACACGUGCGGAUGCCAUUUCCGGCAUGUUUCUCCAUGAAGAAGGUCAGCUUCAGUUUUUGCCACUUGUAGAUAGAAGUUGAAGUGGCGGACGUCUUAACGAGGUUGCUAGAAUGUCAAAGAAAUAGAUGAGGGAAAUAUUAUGAAGAUAUAUUUAUGAAUAUCUAAUUGAGCAUUUAAUUAAGAACUUAAUCGAAAGACCAAAAUAAGUUGGUUCUUGAGACCAAGUACCUAUCUAAGUAUAAUAGUCUUUUGUACUUACGGUUUAGUAAGAGGACUCGAGUAAAACGAUUACUCGUUAAAAGGAACAAUAGAAUAAUCAUGCCUCCGCAGACGGUGGUCUCUGCUUUCAUGCCUCAUCGCGGAGAAUCUCAGCGAAAAAAGUAUCCCGAAGCGUGAGCUGAAAGGUGGCUAUGUAGGCUGCCUAGUGAAUGCCGUCGCCAUGGUGGAGCUGGCGUGUAGCAACUCCCUAAGUCCAGGAAUCUAAUCCCGCGUCAGAAAGACAAAAUUCGCUACGGAGAAAAGUAAACAAAAAUAUAUAUAUAGGGAAGAAGAGACAAAGAUUAAAGAUCGUUAAGAAUUAAAGGUAAUUUAAUGAUAAAAGGGAGAAAGAAUUGUGUAAAAAUUCUACUGGGAAAGAAAAGAAAGAAGAAGCCUCCAACGAGAAAGACGUGCUCAGAAGCGAGUCCCGCGUAGCGCCAUGUAGAGGAGCAGGAAGAAAAUAUUGGUAAUCUCCUCGAACGACGAGCGCUUGAUAUUCACAAUUAGAACUCGAUAUCUUAGCUUCUUAUAAUAUCCUAAUAAAAUGUUAUUUAUCGAUUACAA
This is a long non-coding RNA of Bombus huntii, 1879 nucleotides long. RefSeq lists it as uncharacterized. The record is from RefSeq and is a predicted model, not a curated record. The transcript has 2 exons. Lineage: Eukaryota; Metazoa; Arthropoda; Insecta; Hymenoptera; Apidae.